GCUUCCUCACACAUUCCUAGCUGCUGCAGAUCGUCUGUUUUCACUCAUUGAAGCAAAAUACUCGCGGAUUCCGGUACUGCUCCUCGAAAAGGUUCGGAUUCGACUAUCACCAUUCUCAAAAUCGUUGUGUGGUUCUUGUAGAGUACACCUUGUAGAUCAUGCAGCACUUUAUAGAAUCGAAAACCGUUAAGUUUAGAGAGAGCAAUCUUGAAUUUACACUUUGAUGCGAAAUCUUCUUUCGCUCGAUCUGUGCGGUAUGAUAGGAAUUAGGAGUUUUCUCUGGCAUAUUGUUGUUGUACGUAGAAUAACCUUUCCAACGGUAUAAAAUUUAUUGAGUUUGGUGAAGAAAAGUUCGAGACCGUUAUUGCCGUUGAGGAGCUUGAACUGUGCGAAGAAGAUGAGCGUUUCUGGAAAUUUUUCACGCUUUGAUCUUCUUUCCCUGGCCGCGAGCUCAAAUUGUUGUUUCCCGCCGAGGUGGACCAAUCGCGCACCGCCAGCACAUAAAUGAGGUG
RNAcentral lists this long non-coding RNA (512 nucleotides) under Lathyrus oleraceus (garden pea). Its description in RNAcentral is "Pisum sativum (pea) long non-coding RNA (PSAT_LNC012106)". The record is from RNAcentral. Lineage: Eukaryota; Viridiplantae; Streptophyta; Magnoliopsida; Fabales; Fabaceae.